Molecule: ribosomal RNA, 751 nt
Filed under: uncultured bacterium
Lineage: Bacteria
Description: bacterial SSU rRNA
Rfam family: Bacterial small subunit ribosomal RNA
Source: RNAcentral
AUGAACGCUGGCGGCGUGCCUAACACAUGCAAGUCGAACGAAGCGCCUGGCCCCGACUCUUCGGAACGAGGAGCCUUGCGACUGAGUGGCGGACGGGUGAGUAACGCGUGGGCAACCUGCCUUGCACUGGGGGAUAACAGCCAGAAAUGGCUGCUAAUACCGCAUAAGACCGAAGCGCCGCAUGGCGCGGCGGCCAAAGCCCCGGCGGUGCAAGAUGGGCCCGCGUCUGAUUAGGUAGUUGGCGGGGUAACGGCCCACCAAGCCGACGAUCAGUAGCCGACCUGAGAGGGUGACCGGCCACAUUGGGACUGAGACACGGCCCAGACUCCUACGGGAGGCAGCAGUGGGGAAUAUUGCACAAUGGGGGAAACCCUGAUGCAGCGACGCCGCGUGAGCGAUGAAGUAUUUCGGUAUGUAAACUUCUAUCAGCAGGGAAGAAGAUGACGGUACCUGACUAAGAAGCCCCGGCUAACUACGUGCCAGCAGCCGCGGUAAUACGUAUGGUGCAAGCGUUAUCCGGAUUUACUGGGUGUAAAGGGAGCGUAGACGGCAUGGCAAGCCAGAUGUGAAAGCCCGGGGCUCAACCCCGGGACUGCAUUUGGAACUGUCAGGCUAGAGUGUCGGAGAGGAAAGCGGAAUUCCUAGUGUAGCGGUGAAAUGCGUAGAUAUUAGGAGGAACACCAGUGGCGAAGGCGACUUUCUGGACGAUGACUGACGUUGAGGCUCGAAAGCGUGGGGAGCAAACAGGAUU